Molecule: long non-coding RNA, 1130 nt
Organism: Dinoponera quadriceps
Lineage: Eukaryota; Metazoa; Arthropoda; Insecta; Hymenoptera; Formicidae
Exons: 3
Source: RefSeq, a predicted model, not a curated record
GUGAGCUGUGCUGCGACAUCAUGGACAUAUGGUAUUGGACGGGACAUGCUGCAAGAUUUCUUUGAUCUUUCAUAUUGACGGGUCUAGAGAAAGAGAAGGUAACGUUCGGGCAAAAAGAAUCCCGUCGCAAUUGGACGAAAUGGUCGCGUUGGAGCGGAAACGGAGAACACAUCGAAGUCGGCUCGAUUACAGGCGGUAGGAAGCGAAUGCUCGACAGGAAAGCAUUCGUUACAAAAGCCGUAUACGUUAAGUGGCAGGGGAAGCUAUGAUAAGAGCCAUUGCGUGCUUGUUCGAGCAGGAAAACGACGGCCAACUACGCGCGAGCGAUCAGGGACGUCGUGUGCGAGCCUGCAUUAUACAAAUGCAGGUAACAUUGUACAAAGCUUCGUGUGCACUGCACUUGAUUCUGUCUCGAAUGAGGACAUCGUGUGAGGACAUCAAAGGAAGUGUGACGAGAGGAAUAAAUUCGCAAGAUUAUCAACGAGCGUCCAUCGUCGGAGAUCCAAAGGAACACGCUAAUACGCGAGUUACUAACGCGUUGUUAUCGCGACGGCUGUCAGAUGACGCACAGUUGGGAAAGUUGUUUGCGACGAUCAGCUGCGGAUAUUUUCCCGCGGUCGUCGCGCCUGGCACAAAGUCCACCGACCAAGAAAUUCGCUCCCUCCUGAACAUUUCUCAGUCGCGUCGCGUUAAAUCGCCCGUUCUCGAAAGACCCCGGCGAGUAUCGAUGUGUAACGAACGUAACGCGCUCUUAUUCAACCGCGCUUCCAAUUAUGCGCUGGCUAAUUUUAGCGGACUCUGAUUUUAGCUUGAUAAUUAAACGAAGAAAGAGAAAGAGAGAAGAGGCGGCUUUUGCAAAAAAUCUUCGCUCAGAGGAAAACCCGAGGACAGAUUUAACAGACGGUUAAAAGAGGCGCGGUACUGAUAUUUCGUGACGACCCGGUACAGGUAUCAUUUUAGAAUGAAAAAUGACCCCGACUACGUGUGGGAGCGAGAGAAGCCUUCAGAUUUAAUUUCAACGUCGCGCGCGCUUACAUAUACAUAUAUAUGUAUAUAUAUAUCGACAUUGUCGGAUUUCUUUAAUACAAUCACUGAGAGAAAAAAAAAAUACCUAAGAGACAAAAAAUAUU